AACGAACGCUGGCGGCAUGCCUAACACAUGCAAGUCGAACGAGACCUUCGGGUCUAGUGGCGCACGGGUGCGUAACGCGUGGGAACCUGCCCUUAGGUUCGGAAUAACUCCCCGAAAGGGGUGCUAAUACCGGAUAAUGUCUUCGGACCAAAGAUUUAUCGCCUUUGGAUGGGCCCGCGUUGGAUUAGCUAGUUGGUAGGGUAAAAGCCUACCAAGGCGACGAUCCAUAGCUGGUCUGAGAGGAUGAUCAGCCACACUGGGACUGAGACACGGCCCAGACUUCUACGGGAAGGAGGAGUGGGGGAUAUUGGAACAUGGGGGGAAGGCUGAACCCGCCAUGGCGGGUGAGUGAUUAAGGCCUUAAGGUUGUAAAGCUCCUUUACCCGGGAUGAUAAUGACAGUACCGGGAGAAUAAGCUCCGGCUAACUCCGUG
This 433-nucleotide ribosomal RNA is filed under the name uncultured bacterium. RNAcentral describes it as "partial 16S ribosomal RNA". It matches the Rfam family "Bacterial small subunit ribosomal RNA", at positions 29 to 507 of the family's 1533-position model. The record is from RNAcentral.